GGCGAACGGGUGAGGAACACGUGAGAAAUCUGCCUUCAACUCUGGGAUAACUCCGUGAAAACGGGGCUAAUACCGGAUAUGAAACCUGCGGGCAUCCGCGGGUUUGGAAAGUUUUUCGGUUGAAGAUGAUCUCGCGGCCUAUCAGCUUGUUGGUGAGGUAAUGGCCCACCAAGGCGACGACGGGUAGCCGGCCUGAGAGGGCGACCGGCCACACUGGGACUGAGACACGGCCCAGACUCCUACGGGAGGCAGCAGUGGGGAAUAUUGGGCAAUGGAGGAAACUCUGACCCAGCGACGCCGCGUGCGGGAUGAAGGCCUUCGGGUUGUAAACCGCUUUCAGCAGGGAAGAAGCGAAAGUGACGGUACCUGCAGAAGAAGCACCGGCUAACUAUGUGCCAGCAGCCGCGGUAAUACAUAGGGUGCAAGCGUUGUCCGGAAUUAUUGGGCGUAAAGAGCUCGUAGGUGGUUCGUCACGUCGGAUGUGAAACUCUGGGGCUUAACCCCAGACCUGCAUUCGAUACGGGCGAGCUUGAGUAUGGUAGGGGAGUCUGGAAUUCCUGGUGUGGCGGUGGAAUGCGCAGAUAUCAGGAGGAACACCAAUGGCGAAGGCAGGACUCUGGGCCAUUACUGACACUGAGGAGCGAAAGCGUGGGGAGCGAACAGGAUUAGAUACCCUGGUAGUCCACGCCGU
This 691-nucleotide ribosomal RNA is filed under the name uncultured Actinomycetales bacterium. RNAcentral's name for it is "bacterial SSU rRNA". It matches the Rfam family "Bacterial small subunit ribosomal RNA", at positions 97 to 803 of the family's 1533-position model. Lineage: Bacteria; Bacillati; Actinomycetota; Actinomycetes; Actinomycetales. The record is from RNAcentral.